Molecule: ribosomal RNA, 442 nt
Filed under: uncultured bacterium
Lineage: Bacteria
Description: partial 16S ribosomal RNA
Rfam family: Bacterial small subunit ribosomal RNA
Source: RNAcentral
CCUACGGGGGGCAGCAGUGGGGAAUAUUGGGCAAUGGGCGCAAGCCUGACCCAGCAACGCCGCGUGAAGGAAGAAGGCUUUCGGGUUGUAAACUUCUUUUAAGAGGGAAGAGCAGAAGACGGUACCUCUUGAAUAAGCCACGCCUAACUACGUGCCAGCAGCCGCGGUCAUACGUAGGUGGCAAGCGUUGUCCGGAUUUACUGGGUGUACAGGGCGUGCAGCCGGGAAGACAAGUCAGAUGUGAAAUCCCGCGGCUCAACCGCGGAACUGCAUUUGAAACUGUUUUUCUUGAGUACCGGAGAGGUCAGCGGAAUUCCGUGUGUAGCGGUGAAAUGCGUAGAUAUAAGGAAGAACACCAGUGGCGAAGGCGGAUGACUGGACGGCAACUGACGGUGAGGCGCGAAAGCGUGGGGAGCAAACAGGAUUAGAUACCCCUGUAGUC